AACAGACGUCCACCUACUGGU
RNAcentral lists this unclassified non-coding RNA (21 nucleotides) under Dictyostelium discoideum. Lineage: Eukaryota; Evosea; Eumycetozoa; Dictyosteliales; Dictyosteliaceae. The record is from RNAcentral.